Molecule: unclassified non-coding RNA, 288 nt
Filed under: Hevea brasiliensis (rubber tree)
Lineage: Eukaryota; Viridiplantae; Streptophyta; Magnoliopsida; Malpighiales; Euphorbiaceae
Source: RNAcentral
UGAAAAUUCACAGAUCUCAUAGUGAAAUUUCAUCAUAACUAGCAUAGCAGAGCACCAUAGGAUACAUAAUAUCUUUAUAUAUGAAGCCACAAUGAAUAUACUACAAGGACUCAACUUUUCCCUGAGUCAGUGAGACCUGGCAAUCCCUUCUUUCCAUCCUCUUUGACGAGCUCUCGACUCCCACAUAGCUGUCAAUUUCUUUUGUGCUGCUAAUGCAGCUUCAGCUUUUUCCCUUGCUUCUUCACAGGUCUCCAUCCCAGAAUUGCAUUUGUCUGCUUCCUUUUGAUA